This 319-nucleotide long non-coding RNA is filed under the name Coturnix japonica (Japanese quail). RNAcentral's name for it is "lncRNA (ENSCJPG00005001119.1)". Lineage: Eukaryota; Metazoa; Chordata; Aves; Galliformes; Phasianidae. The record is from RNAcentral.
UCCAGAUUUGGUGUUUUUGGGGUCAAAUUUUGGGGUUUUUUGGGUCAAAUUUGGGGUUUUUGGGUCAGAUUUGGGGUUUUUUUGGGUCAGAUUUGGGUUUUUAGGGUCCAAAUUGGGUCAAAUUUGGGUUUUUUGGGGUCAAAUUGGGGCAGAUUUGGGGUUUUUUGGGUCAGAUUUGGGGUUUUUUAGGCUCCAAUUUGGGUCAAAUUUGGGGUUUUUGGGGUCAAAUUGGGUCAGAUUUGGGGUUUUUUUGGGUCAGAUUUGGGGUUUUUUGGAUCAUAUUUGGGGUUUUUUGGGUCCAAAUUGGGUCAAAUUUGGG